UGCCCCAUGGCUCAGUUGGCUAGAGCGUGUGACUGUUAAUCACAAGGUCGAGAGUUCGAGCCUCUCUGGGGCAG
This 74-nucleotide transfer RNA is filed under the name Fomitiporia mediterranea MF3/22. RNAcentral describes it as "tRNA-Asn (GTT) (tRNA-Asn-GTT-2-1)". It matches the Rfam family "tRNA". From Rfam's summary of the family: Transfer RNA (tRNA) molecules are approximately 80 nucleotides in length. Their secondary structure includes four short double-helical elements and three loops (D, anti-codon, and T loops). Further hydrogen bonds mediate the characteristic L-shaped molecular structure. tRNAs have two regions of fundamental functional importance: the anti-codon, which is responsible for specific mRNA codon recognition, and the 3' end, to which the tRNAs corresponding amino acid is attached (by aminoacyl-tRNA synthetases). tRNAs cope with the degeneracy of the genetic code in two manners: having more than one tRNA (with a specific anti-codon) for a particular amino acid; and 'wobble' base-pairing, i.e. permitting non-standard base-pairing at the 3rd anti-codon position. Lineage: Eukaryota; Fungi; Basidiomycota; Agaricomycetes; Hymenochaetales; Hymenochaetaceae. The record is from RNAcentral.